Molecule: ribosomal RNA, 425 nt
Filed under: uncultured bacterium
Lineage: Bacteria
Description: bacterial SSU rRNA
Rfam family: Bacterial small subunit ribosomal RNA
Source: RNAcentral
CUCAACUAGGAGAAGUUGCUCAAAACUACCAGGCUGGAGGACGGUAGAGGGAGGUGGAAUUCCCGGUGUAGUAGUGAAAUGCGUAGAUAUCGGGAGGAACACCAAUAGCGAAGGCAGCCUCCUGGGCCGUUCCUGACACUGAGACGCGAAAGCAUGGGGAGCGAACGGGAUUAGAAACCCCGGUAGUCCAUGCCGUAAACGAUGUGGACUUGAUGUCGGCAGCGUAAUAGUUGUCGGUGUCGUAGUUAACGCGGUAAGUCCACCGCCUGGGGAGUACGAUCGCAAGGUUAAAACUCAAAGGAAUUGACGGGGGCCCGCACAAGCAGCGGAGCGUGUGGUUUAAUUCGAUGCAACACGAAGAACCUUACCUGGGCUUGACAUAUAAGUGGUAGGGAUCCGAAAGGUGACCGACCCCUCGGGGAGCU